RNAcentral lists this ribosomal RNA (218 nucleotides) under uncultured bacterium. Its description in RNAcentral is "partial 16S ribosomal RNA". It matches the Rfam family "Bacterial small subunit ribosomal RNA", at positions 99 to 334 of the family's 1533-position model. The record is from RNAcentral.
CGGACGGGUGAGUAACACGUAGGAACGUACCCCAAACUGAGGGAUAAGCACCAGAAAUGGUGUCUAAUACCACAUAUGAUCUUCGGAUUAAAGCUCCGGCGGUUUGGGAACGGCCUGCGCAUGAUUAGCUUGUUGGUGAGGUAAUAGCUCACCAAGGCGACGAUCAUUAGCUGGUCUGAGAGGAUGACCAGCCACACUGGGACUGAGAUACGGCCCAG